UCUCUGUGAUGAUUGACAACGAUGACGAGUCCGAUCUAUAUCCAUUCGAUCCACUAUUCUGACGACGAAUCGAGGCAUUUGUCUGAGAGAA
Small nucleolar RNA from Vitis vinifera (wine grape), 91 nucleotides. It matches the Rfam family "Plant small nucleolar RNA SNOR75". From Rfam's summary of the family: U15 is a member of the C/D class of snoRNA which contain the C (UGAUGA) and D (CUGA) box motifs. NCBI's taxonomy places the organism in Eukaryota, Viridiplantae, Streptophyta, Magnoliopsida, Vitales, Vitaceae. The record is from Rfam.